This 90-nucleotide microRNA precursor is filed under the name Trypanosoma vivax Y486. The record is from RNAcentral. Lineage: Eukaryota; Euglenozoa; Kinetoplastea; Trypanosomatida; Trypanosomatidae.
CUCACCAAAGACAGUGGAAAAACAACCACGACGCAUACUGCAGCGGAUCCGCGGCCCUGCAGUCGUCGUGGUUGUUUUUCCACUGUCUUU